CCUACGGGGGGCAGCAGUGGGGAAUAUUGGACAAUGGGGGCAACCCUGAUCCAGCCAUGCCGCGUGUGUGAAGAAGGCCCUCGGGUUGUAAAGCACUUUCAGUGAGGAAGAACGCCUGGUGGUUAAUACCCAUCAGGAAAGACAUCACUCACAGAAGAAGCACCGGCUAACUCCGUGCCAGCAGCCGCGGUAAUACGGAGGGUGCGAGCGUUAAGCGGAAUUACUGGGCGUAAAGCGCGCGUAGGUGGCUUGAUAAGCCGGUCGUGAAAGCCCCGGGCUCAACCUGGGAACGGCAUCCGGAACUGUCAAGCUAGAGUGAAGGAGAGGAAGGUAGAAUUCCCGGUGUAGCGGUGAAAUGCGUAGAGAUCGGGAGGAAUACCAGUGGCGAAGGCGGCCUUCUGGACUGACACUGACACUGAGGUGCGAAAGCGUGGGUAGCAAACAGGAUUAGAUACCCUAGUAGUC
RNAcentral lists this ribosomal RNA (465 nucleotides) under Vreelandella stevensii. RNAcentral describes it as "partial 16S ribosomal RNA". It matches the Rfam family "Bacterial small subunit ribosomal RNA", at positions 338 to 795 of the family's 1533-position model. The record is from RNAcentral. Lineage: Bacteria; Pseudomonadati; Pseudomonadota; Gammaproteobacteria; Oceanospirillales; Halomonadaceae.